This 446-nucleotide ribosomal RNA is filed under the name uncultured bacterium. RNAcentral's name for it is "SSU rRNA". It matches the Rfam family "Bacterial small subunit ribosomal RNA", at positions 26 to 518 of the family's 1533-position model. The record is from RNAcentral.
AGAAUGAACGCUGGCGGCAUGCCUAACACAUGCAAGUCGAACGAGACCUUCGGGUCUAGUGGCGCACGGGUGCGUAACGCGUGGGAAUCUACCCUUGGGUUCGGAAUAACAGUGAGAAAUUACUGCUAAUACCGGAUAAUGUCGCAAGACCAAAGAUUUAUUGCCCAAGGAUGAGCCCGCGUAAGAUUAGCUAGUUGGUGGGGUAAAGGCCUACCAAGGCGACGAUCUUUAGCUGGUCUGAGAGGAUGAUCAGCCACACUGGGACUGAGACACGGCCCAGACUCCUACGGGAGGCAGCAGUGGGGAAUAUUGGACAAUGGGCGAAAGCCUGAUCCAGCAAUGCCGCGUGAGUGAUGAAGGCCUUAGGGUUGUAAAGCUCUUUUACCCGGGAAGAUAAUGACUGUACCGGGAGAAUAAGCCCCGGCUAACUCCGUGCCAGCAGCCGC